This 245-nucleotide ribosomal RNA is filed under the name uncultured Spirochaetaceae bacterium. RNAcentral describes it as "partial 16S ribosomal RNA". It matches the Rfam family "Bacterial small subunit ribosomal RNA", at positions 524 to 768 of the family's 1533-position model. The record is from RNAcentral. Lineage: Bacteria; Pseudomonadati; Spirochaetota; Spirochaetia; Spirochaetales; Spirochaetaceae.
CACGUAAGGUGCGAGCGUUGUUCGGAAUUAUUGGGCGUAAAGGGCAUGUAGGCGGCACUGUAAGUCGGGCGUGAAAUGCCGGGGCUCAACCCCGGCGCCGCGCCCGAUACUGCGGUGCUUGAGUCGGCGAGGCGGAGGCGGAAUUCCUGGUGUAGGGGUGAAAUCUGUAGAUAUCAGGAAGAACACCGGUGGCGAAGGCAGCCUUCGAGCGCACGACUGACGCUGAGGUGCGAAGGUGCGGGGAG